Sphaeramia orbicularis (orbiculate cardinalfish) is the source of this 386-nucleotide long non-coding RNA. RefSeq lists it as uncharacterized. NCBI's taxonomy places the organism in Eukaryota, Metazoa, Chordata, Actinopteri, Kurtiformes, Apogonidae. The record is from RefSeq and is a predicted model, not a curated record. The transcript has 3 exons.
AGUACAUUGAUAUCCGUCUUAGUUUUCAACAUAGAAGCCGUUUUGUGAAUACGCAAAGUAGGCGCUUGAGCCCUGGUCAUUUUAGAUGCCAAUAACUCAAAAUCUAUAUAUACACGUGUGAGAAAUGAGGUGGGUAAUGGCUGGAGAAUUGAAUUUCCAAUAAUUUGACAUUAAAAAAAACUGAGUUAACUGACCCCCUGAUAUUUACCCCGGGGCGCUAAUGAAGGCGUGGCCCUUAUGAUGUCAUGAUGCAUACCAUCGGAUGCAGAAUGGAAAAAUGCACAAUUUGGCUUUCUGUGCUUUGUCCUACUAUUGGCAAAAACCAAUCAGGUUGAUUAGAGAAUAUGGACAAUCAUUUGGUCAUGGUGUGAUAUCAAUAAAUCUUG